CAGGCUUAACACAUGCAAGUCGAGGGGCAUCAGGAAGAAAGCUUGCUUUCUUUGCUGGCGACCGGCGCACGGGUGAGUAACACGUAUCCAACCUGCCCUUUACUCGGGGAUAGCCUUUCGAAAGAAAGAUUAAUACCCGAUAGUAUAAUGAUUCCGCAUGGUUUCAUUAUUAAAGGAUUCCGGUAAAGGAUGGGGAUGCGUUCCAUUAGGUUGUUGGUGAGGUAACGGCCCACCAAGCCUUCGAUGGAUAGGGGUUCUGAGAGGAAGGUCCCCCACAUUGGAACUGAGACACGGUCCAAACUCCUACGGGAGGCAGCAGUGAGGAAUAUUGGUCAAUGGGCGCUAGCCUGAACCAGCCAAGUAGCGUGAAGGAUGAAGGCUCUAUGGGUCGUAAACUUCUUUUAUAUAAGAAUAAAGUGCAGUAUGUAUACUGUUUUGUAUGUAUUAUAUGAAUAAGGAUCGGCUAACUCCGUGCCAGCAGCCGCGGUAAUACGGAGGAUCCGAGCGUUAUCCGGAUUUAUUGGGUUUAAAGGGAGCGUAGGUGGACUGGUAAGUCAGUUGUGAAAGUUUGCGGCUCAACCGUAAAAUUGCAGUUGAUACUGUCAGUCUUGAGUACAGUAGAGGUGGGCGGAAUUCGUGGUGUAGCGGUGAAAUGCUUAGAUAUCACGAAGAACUCCGAUUGCGAAGGCAGCUCACUGGACUGCAACUGACACUGAUGCUCGAAAGUGUGGGUAUCAAACAGGAUUAGACACCCUGGUAGUCCACACAGUAAACGAUGAAUACUCGCUGUUUGCGAUAUACAGUAAGCGGCCAAGCGAAAGCAUUAAGUAUUCCACCUGGGGAGUACGCCGGCAACGGUGAAACUCAAAGGAAUUGACGGGGGCCCGCACAAGCGGAGGAACAUGUGGUUUAAUUCGAUGAUACGCGAGGAACCUUACCCGGGCUUAAAUUGCAGUGGAAUGAUGUGGAAACAUGUCAGUGAGCAAUCACCGCUGUGAAGGUGCUGCAUGGUUGUCGUCAGCUCGUGCCGUGAGGUGUCGGCUUAAGUGCCAUAACGAGCGCAACCCUUAUCUUUAGUUACUAACAGGUUAUGCUGAGGACUCUAGAGAGACUGCCGUCGUAAGAUGUGAGGAAGGUGGGGAUGACGUCAAAUCAGCACGGCCCUUACGUCCGGGGCUACACACGUGUUACAAUGGGGGGUACAGAAGGCAGCUAGCGGGUGACCGUAUGCUAAUCCCAAAAGCCUCUCUCAGUUCGGAUCGAAGUCUGCAACCCGACUUCGUGAAGCUGGAUUCGCUAGUAAUCGCGCAUCAGCCACGGCGCGGUGAAUACGUUCCCGGGCCUUGUACACACCGCCCGUCAAGCCAUGGGAGCCGGGGGUACCUGAAGUACGUAACCGCAAGGAUCGUCCUAGGGUAAAACUGGUGACUGGGGCUAA
RNAcentral lists this ribosomal RNA (1438 nucleotides) under uncultured organism. RNAcentral describes it as "16S ribosomal RNA". It matches the Rfam family "Bacterial small subunit ribosomal RNA". The record is from RNAcentral.